AGCUGGUCUGAAGGUGGUGAGUUAUCUCAAUUGAUUGUUCACAGUUCACAGAUUGAACUUGUGUUCUAUACUCUCCUGUUCUCACUACUGCCCUUGACUAAUCUUUU
Molecule: Y RNA, 107 nt
Filed under: Carlito syrichta (Philippine tarsier)
Lineage: Eukaryota; Metazoa; Chordata; Mammalia; Primates; Tarsiidae
Description: Y RNA (ENSTSYG00000022264.2)
Rfam family: Y RNA
About the family: Y RNAs are components of the Ro ribonucleoprotein particle (Ro RNP), in association with Ro60 and La proteins. The Y RNAs and Ro60 and La proteins are well conserved, but the function of the Ro RNP is not known. In humans the RNA component can be one of four small RNAs -- hY1, hY3, hY4 and hY5.
Source: Rfam by way of RNAcentral